Molecule: microRNA precursor, 63 nt
Filed under: Dasypus novemcinctus (nine-banded armadillo)
Lineage: Eukaryota; Metazoa; Chordata; Mammalia; Cingulata; Dasypodidae
Description: miRNA (ENSDNOG00000034103.1)
Source: RNAcentral
CCUUGGCCACUGCUCUCACCCCUUGGGAGUGUUAGGCAAUGGGUGAUGGGUGUGGUGUCUGCA